GGAAGUGCUGUAGCUCAGGAGUAAGGUGUCAGCUUUGUAUGCAGAAGGUCCCAGGUUCAAUCCUUGACAUCUCCU
Non-coding RNA from Podarcis lilfordi (Lilford's wall lizard), 75 nucleotides. NCBI's taxonomy places the organism in Eukaryota, Metazoa, Chordata, Lepidosauria, Squamata, Lacertidae. The record is from the annotation of a GenBank genome assembly.